RNAcentral lists this ribosomal RNA (252 nucleotides) under uncultured eukaryote. RNAcentral's name for it is "partial 28S ribosomal RNA". It matches the Rfam family "Eukaryotic large subunit ribosomal RNA", at positions 1 to 266 of the family's 3401-position model. The record is from RNAcentral.
UUGACCUCAAAUCAGGUAGGACUACCCGCUGAACUUAAGCAUAUCAAUAAGCGGAGGAAAAGAAACCAACAGGGAUUGCCUUAGUAACGGCGAGUGAAGCGGCAAAAGCUCAAAUUUGAAAUCGGCCACCAGGUCGAGUUGUAAUUUGUAGAUUGUAUCUUGAGAGCGGAUUAAAGUCUGUUGGAACACAGCGCCUUAGAGGGUGACAGCCCCGUAAAAUCUAUUCUCAUUGUAAGAUACUUUCGAAGAGUC